GCCGGGCACGGUGGCGUGUGCCUGUAGUCCCAGCUAUUCAGGAGGCUGAGGUGGGAGGAUCGUUUGAGCCCAGGAGUUCUGGGCUGUAGUGCACUUUGCCGAUCAGGUGUCCGCACUAAGUUCGGCAUCAAUAUGGUGACCUCCCGGGAGUGGGGGACCAGCAGGUGAACCGGCCCAGGUCGGAAACCGAGCAGGUCAAAACUCCCGUGCUGAUCAGUAAUGGGAUCGUGCCUGUGAAUAGCCACUGCCCUCCACACUCCAGCCUGGGCAACACAGUGAGACCCCGUCUCU
Molecule: unclassified non-coding RNA, 291 nt
Organism: Aotus nancymaae (Ma's night monkey)
Lineage: Eukaryota; Metazoa; Chordata; Mammalia; Primates; Aotidae
Rfam family: Metazoan signal recognition particle RNA
About the family: The signal recognition particle (SRP) is a universally conserved ribonucleoprotein. It is involved in the co-translational targeting of proteins to membranes. The eukaryotic SRP consists of a 300-nucleotide 7S RNA and six proteins: SRPs 72, 68, 54, 19, 14, and 9.
Source: Ensembl